UCCUACGGGAGGCAGCAGUGGGGAAUAUUGCACAAUGGGCGCAAGCCUGAUGCAGCCAUGCCGCGUGUAUGAAGAAGGCCUUCGGGUUGUAAAGUACUUUCAGCUGGGGAGGAAGGCGAUGAAGUUAAUAACUUCUGUCGAUGACGUACCCGC
This 153-nucleotide ribosomal RNA is filed under the name uncultured Gammaproteobacteria bacterium. RNAcentral's name for it is "partial 16S ribosomal RNA". It matches the Rfam family "Bacterial small subunit ribosomal RNA", at positions 337 to 482 of the family's 1533-position model. Lineage: Bacteria; Pseudomonadati; Pseudomonadota; Gammaproteobacteria. The record is from RNAcentral.